ACGGACUGGCGUCCCGUCCUGGGUGUGUCCCCUUCCCCUCCGGACCUGUCCAUCCAGGUGCAGGCCCAGGUUUUCCGGGCACACGGAUGUGUGCUGGCUGCUUCGUCACCCUCCUUUCACGACCAGGUGCUGCUGAAGAACAUGUCUACUGUAUCCAUCCCAGCCGUCAUGGACCCCCUGGCCUUUGAGAGUGUUCUAAGCUGUGCCUACACCGGUCAGCUGCGCAUGCUACGGGAGGACGUCGUCAACUACCUCACCGGGGGGAGUGUGCUGCAGAUGUGACACAUCGUGGACAAGUGCACCGAGCUCCUUAAGGAAGGACGGGGAGGGACUACUGGAACACAGGGUGGAGGUGCUCAGGGCAAUCCCGGGUGGAGCAGCGGUGGGCGAGAGCCGGGGGCAGGAGCCCAAUCCGGUGAAGCCCGCUCUGAAGUCCUGCCCCCCAGUCGCCUCGCUCUGAAUGAGAGCCAGUCCCCCAGCAGCACCAACUAUUUCAGCCCCAGAGAGGACUAUGACCGAGGUGAAUUCCCGAGGAAGGUAGAAAGGAUGAAAUUUGAUGAUCAGACGUUCCAGGUUGUCUGUGCAGGAGCGAGGUCGCACCAGCUGCUGUUCACCAUUAAACACACUCCACCUCCCCUUGACUUCCCCGACUCCGGCGUUCUGUCCAUGCAGUAAACCGAGAGCUCGUCUGGUACCGCUGGGGUCGGCCAUGUCCCCGUGAAGCAGAGGACGUUGCAGUCCCGAAUGUCUCUCUGGAACUUGACCCGGGCUCUGAGGUCGUCAAGCUUGUUGUCCAGAGGCUGGACGUUAGCUAGCGGGAUACUAGGCAGGGGAGCGCGGUGUGCGCGAGCCCUCAUCCUGUUCCUGACGCCGGCUCGUUUUUCCUCGGGGUCUCCGCCGCAGGUCGCGUCCUUUGUUCGUUCUCAGGAUCUCAGCUGGCCAGCUGGGAUCCGGUGUUACAAAAGUCGUAUGGUGAGGGGCUUGGGUACCAAUAGAAAUAAGAGUAUUUCUAUCGUAGCUGAUAGUGCCCAUGAUAAUGUGAAAAGGUGGUUAAAGUAAGAUAAAGUGCUAAAAUAAGUAAAAACAAGGGACGUAUAGUGGGAGCAGUCGUGGUUCAGUUAUUAGUGUGGCCUUGCAGCCUCAACGCUGGGUGUAUUACGUAUGCUUGCAAGCAAUUAUUACACACAAUCCCUUAUUCCUAACCCCCGGAGAGCAGGCCCUGGUCCAACCCACUAUGCUACCAUCCUCCACCUCAUAUUUUUUCUAUGAUUUCUUUUUUGACCUCUAUAGUGGCCCUCACAAUACUCCUUUUUAGCUGCGUAGUAGUGUCCUUCUUACCCAUGCUGGCUUCUGGCCAAGUGGCAAAUAAGAGACCUGGACAAAAAAUAAAACGCUAACGCACUAACAAACCCAAUUUCUUAAGAGGACACUAAAUAUUGUUUUUGUUAAUUCCUCUAUAAAGUUUUAACAUGACAUACCUGACGGACAUUGAUCCAUUGAGUCGCAGCUGUUUGAAUUUCAAACUGAACUUUCCCACGGCUUCCCUCCUUCCGCUCUGAUGGCAGCAAGGGGCCAGUUUAAUCACGUGGCAAAACAACGUGCAAGGACGCUCCCACACUUAGCUUCUGUAUUUAGCAAAUCAUAUUCAAAUCUUUAAUAAUACAAUAGUAACCAACGGGAAGAUGCACAUAGUAAAAUACAUCAGCAAUAACUGACAAGUCUUU
Long non-coding RNA from Scleropages formosus (Asian bonytongue), 1724 nucleotides. RefSeq lists it as uncharacterized. The transcript is spliced from 2 exons. The record is from RefSeq and is a predicted model, not a curated record. Lineage: Eukaryota; Metazoa; Chordata; Actinopteri; Osteoglossiformes; Osteoglossidae.